UCCCUGACAGUCCAUUGUUUAGGACUCAGCACUCCCACUGCCAAGGACCUAGGUUCAAUCCCUGGUCAAGGAA
This 73-nucleotide transfer RNA is filed under the name Ovis aries (sheep). It matches the Rfam family "tRNA". From Rfam's summary of the family: Transfer RNA (tRNA) molecules are approximately 80 nucleotides in length. The record is from Rfam by way of RNAcentral. Lineage: Eukaryota; Metazoa; Chordata; Mammalia; Artiodactyla; Bovidae.